Dermacentor andersoni is the source of this 624-nucleotide non-coding RNA. The record is from RefSeq and is a predicted model, not a curated record. NCBI's taxonomy places the organism in Eukaryota, Metazoa, Arthropoda, Arachnida, Ixodida, Ixodidae.
UGUAGCUCACUGUACACGACACAGGGCAAAGGAAAUCCGUGUUCAGCAACUAUGUUAAAUGCCAUGUACGUAAAUUUUACAACGCUACUCGUUCCAAGCGCGCACAGGUGCAUAUUGAAGAAAAGUUUCCAGGGUAGAUAAUUUAGUUCGUAUUUUCACUAAUUUUGCUCUAACCACGAGACAUAAUAAUUUGAAUAUACUGCACGGAAAAACCUAGAGCGAAUUAAAUUGUGUGUCAGCUUCGUGUGUAUACAUAUAGUCUUUCCUAUGCAUUAGGUUUUUUGCGUAAUGCAUUAACAGUUGACAGCCUAUCUUAUGAUGUGUACUCUGUUUACAUUACAGUUGUUUAUUAGUUUACUCGUUUGUUUUGCGACUGGUGAAAUGCCGGCAUAUAUAUAUUUUCAACAUUUGACAUAACCCUGUAUGUUUUGCAGGGACAACCGAGGACGUGCAUUUCUCAGCACCCAGUCAACUGCCAAAAGUGACUCAAACACAGGCCACCAGUGGAACUCGGCUGUACCACUGCAGUGCUGCGGAAAUUGCCUUCACCAGCGGCUUUGCAACAGCUGUUUCACAGCAUGUCGGAGACAAUGCCUACGAAAUUAUUGGCCCUGAUGAUGAGAG